AGGACGAACGCUGGCGGCGUGCUUAACACAUGCAAGUCGAACGGUAAGGCCCUUCGGGGUACACGAGUGGCGAACGGGUGAGUAACACGUGGGUGAUCUGCCCUGCACUUCGGGAUAAGCUUGGGAAACUGGGUCUAAUACCGGAUAUGACUACGAAUCGCAUGGUUUGUGGUGGAAAGCUUUUGCGGUGUGGGAUGGGCCCGCGGCCUAUCAGCUUGUUGGUGGGGUGAUGGCCUACCAAGGCGACGACGGGUAGCCGGCCUGAGAGGGUGUCCGGCCACACUGGGACUGAGAUACGGCCCAGACUCCUACGGGAGGCAGCAGUGGGGAAUAUUGCACAAUGGGCGCAAGCCUGAUGCAGCGACGCCGCGUGAGGGAUGACGGCCUUCGGGUUGUAAACCUCUUUCAGUAUCGACGAAGCGCAAGUGACGGUAGGUACAGAAGAAGGACCGGCCAACUACGUGCCAGCACGCCGC
This 476-nucleotide ribosomal RNA is filed under the name uncultured bacterium. RNAcentral describes it as "SSU rRNA". It matches the Rfam family "Bacterial small subunit ribosomal RNA", at positions 26 to 518 of the family's 1533-position model. The record is from RNAcentral.